This 1009-nucleotide long non-coding RNA is filed under the name Equus caballus (horse). RNAcentral describes it as "lncRNA (ENSECAG00000046533.1)". Lineage: Eukaryota; Metazoa; Chordata; Mammalia; Perissodactyla; Equidae. The record is from RNAcentral.
UUCUAUUAGCCAAUGCAAGUCAUGAGGACAGCCCAUACUUCAAGGGGUGUGAAAAAAGCCUCUGCCUUUUUAGUCUUUAAUGAAAACUAAAGUGUCCCAUGGCAACGUCAUGGAUACAGGGAAGGAUGAAGGAUUGGGGUUGUUUCUGCAGCCUCGUACAUAGGAGAACCAAAUAGGAUUUUUAGGUUUUUUUUGCACAACUGAAUGAGUAUCAUUCUAUUCUUUAAGACUAGAGGAAGAAUGGUUGAGUGGACAUGGAUAUAUUGAGAGUUCCCAAGUAAAUCUGAGAUGAUGUAAGGUGUUCAUCUUCUCCAUGAGGCUUACUUCUCCAUCCUUCUUCUUCCCUCCUGUAGCACCCCUGAGCCUCCUUACCCUGAAGGAACUUGCUCGCUGGAAAUGGGAUUCAAACCAAAGCAGUCUGAUUCCAGUCUGUGUUCUUAUAAGUAUUACUUCCACCCACAUAUGUUAGUUCUGCUCUUGAUUCAUACAAACAAAGAAAAGCUCAAAAGAGGAAUCUGGGCCAGCUCUAUGGGAUUAACGGUGCCUCUGCCGUUGAAGGCCUCAGGACCCCUUUAAGUUCUCAGGAUCUGCCAGUUGGUACAAAUGCAAAAAGGAAUGGGCGGCUGACACCUCUAGAAAGGAAUUUUCUCCCUCUCUCCGGCCCAGAGAACUGGUUUAUUAGACAAAAGAACCUCAAAUGUGGAUUAGGAAUGAAUUAUCCUCUUAACUUCAGGCACAUGAACAUCAUAAAAACAGCUAUUCUAACAGCAUUAGGAAUCCUGGUUGUGCCGCUGCAGUUUAUGGGGUUAUUGGAUUGCCUGUGGGUCCUGCCCAGAAAAUGGGAGAAUAGGUUUCCCAACAGGAGAAAGUUGUUAAUAGUAACUGACUGAAUGUCCACACUUAUCUCUGUUCCUCGUCAGAGUGUAUUAUCUGUUUUUAUGUUUGUUUCCCCACUUAGAGAGAUUCUUGGGGAUAGUGCCCUUGUCUGUCACUGUAUCAUAGAACCCAG